CACAUCUGAAAAGCGGGCAGCCGACGGCUGUCCCACCCAAGGUGCAAACCGCCCCCGCGCCGCGGCGACAUCCGUCUCGCGUACCGGGUCGUGGUGAACCUCUCAGGUUCCGAUGACAGAUGGGGAGGG
This 129-nucleotide non-coding RNA is filed under the name Streptantibioticus cattleyicolor NRRL 8057 = DSM 46488. Its description in RNAcentral is "Streptomyces cattleya NRRL 8057 = DSM 46488 Glycine". It matches the Rfam family "Glycine riboswitch aptamer". From Rfam's summary of the family: This family represents the bacterial glycine riboswitch. Glycine riboswitches usually consist of two metabolite-binding aptamers domains with similar structures in tandem. Lineage: Bacteria; Bacillati; Actinomycetota; Actinomycetes; Kitasatosporales; Streptomycetaceae. The record is from RNAcentral.